UGUAUCUGAAAGGGCCAUUCCAGUGAAGACGAGUAGGGCGGGGCACGUGAAACCCUGUCUGAACAUGGGGGGACCAUCCUCCAAGGCUAAAUACUACUGACCGACCGAUAGUGAACCAGUACCGUGAGGGAAAGGCGAAAAGAACCCCGGAGAGGGGAGUGAAAUAGAACCUGAAACCGUGUGCGUACAAGCAGUAGGAGCUCCGCAAGGAGUGACUGCGUACCUUUUGUAUAAUGGGUCAGCGACUUACUGUUCGUGGCAAGCUUAACCGUAUAGGGGAGGCGAAGGGAAACCGAGUCUGAUAAGGGCGCAUAGUCGCGGGCAGUAGACCCGAAACCGGGUGAUCUAGUCAUGCCCAGGGUGAAGGUGCGGUAACACGCACUGGAGGCCCGAACCCACUCCCGUUGCAAAGGUAGGGGAUGAGGUGUGAUUAGGAGUGAAAAGCUAAUCGAACCCGGAGAUAGCUGGUUCUCCUCGAAAGCUAUUUAGGUAGCGCCUCAUAUGUAUCCUCUCGGGGGUAGAGCACUGUUAUGGCUAGGGGGUCAUCGCGACUUACCAAACCAUUGCAAACUCCGAAUACCGAGACGGACUGUAUGGGAGACACACGGCGGGUGCUAACGUCCGUCGUGAAAAGGGAAACAACCCAGACCCACAGCUAAGGUCCCAAAUUCACUGCUAAGUGGAAAACCAUGUGGAAAGGCACAGACAGCCAGGAGGUUGGCUUAGAAGCAGCCACCCUUUAAAGAAAGCGUAAUAGCUCACUGGUCGAGUCGGUCUGCGGGGAAGAUUUAACGGGGCUAAGCAGUGAACCGAAGCUUGGGGUGCAUAACUUUGUUAUGCGCGGUAGAGGAGCGUUCCGUAAGCCGUUGAAGGUGGAUUGAGAAGUCUGCUGGAGGUAUCGGAAGUGCGAAUGCUGACAUGAGUAACGAUAAUGCGGGUGAAAAACCCGCACGCCGAAAGCCCAAGGUUUCCUUGCGCAACGUUAAUCGGCGCAGGGUGAGUCGGCCCCUAAGGCGAGGACGAAAGUCGUAGUCGAUGGGAAGCAGGUUAAUAUUCCUGCACCUCGCGUAAGUGCGAUGGAGGGACGGAGAAGGUUAGGUGUACCAGGCGUUGGUUGUCCUGGGGAAAGGCGGUAGGUUUGGAUCUUUGGCAAAUCCGGGAUCCUUUAAGACC
This 1173-nucleotide ribosomal RNA is filed under the name Stenotrophomonas maltophilia. RNAcentral describes it as "partial 23S ribosomal RNA". It matches the Rfam family "Bacterial large subunit ribosomal RNA", at positions 380 to 1557 of the family's 2925-position model. The record is from RNAcentral. Lineage: Bacteria; Pseudomonadati; Pseudomonadota; Gammaproteobacteria; Lysobacterales; Lysobacteraceae.